RNAcentral lists this long non-coding RNA (400 nucleotides) under Homo sapiens (human). Its description in RNAcentral is "non-protein coding lnc-TBXT-1:1". The record is from RNAcentral. Lineage: Eukaryota; Metazoa; Chordata; Mammalia; Primates; Hominidae.
UGGGGAUGAAGUUGGAGAUGGGGAUGGGGAUGAAGACAGAGAUGUAGAUGGGGAUGGAAAUGAAGAUAAGAAUGGAGAUGAGGUUGGGGAUGGAGUUGGAGAUGGGAAUGGGGAUGGAGACAGAGGUGCAGAUGGGAAUGGAGACAGGGAUGGAGAUGAUAAGAAUGGAGACGAGAUUGGAGAUGGGGAUGGAGCUGGAGAAGGGGAUGGGGAUGGAGACAGAUGCAGAUGGGGAUGGAGACAGGGAUGAAGAUGAUAAGAAUGAAGAUGAGGUUUGAGAUGGAGAUGAGGAUGAAGAUAGAGAUGGGGAUGGAGAUGGACACGGACAUCAGGAUGGAAAUGGGGAUGGCAGUGAUGAGGAUGGAGCAAUUUAGAGAAAUAGAGAGAGCCCUUGAACCAG